AGUAUGCUAGAACAUACGUAAGGCUAUAUAUAAAUUCAACCUACAUAUAUAAUACGGGAGACUUAGUUCAUAUAUAAGUAUGACGUGCCCCUAGGGGGAUUUCAGAAAAUAUAAGGCAGGUCACCCACCUGGGUGAAUCUCGGGUGUGAAUUUAGUUAGUCAACGGUGUUUUGGAAUUUCU
RNAcentral lists this non-coding RNA (181 nucleotides) under Peptostreptococcus equinus. RNAcentral's name for it is "Peptostreptococcus sp. CBA3647 6S RNA". It matches the Rfam family "6S / SsrS RNA". Rfam says of the family: E. coli 6S RNA was the first non coding RNA to be sequenced, but its function was unknown until recently. It consists of 184 nucleotides that fold into an extended hairpin structure with a large single-stranded internal bulge. The record is from RNAcentral. Lineage: Bacteria; Bacillati; Bacillota; Clostridia; Peptostreptococcales; Peptostreptococcaceae.